GGGUAAUUGACUGCUCUGUAAUUCCUGGUCUGAUCUUUGUCGUGUUUAUGCAAUAACAUAAUGGUUGCAAUUCUCCAAUCCUCCAGCAACAUCUCAAGUCCAAGUAAGACUGAAAGAUUAUGAAAUUUCAAGUCUCAUUUUCUUUAAUGUACAUCACAUUUAGUCCACGUACAGGUAGACAUUCCUUUAUCUGAAACCCUGAACUCUGAAAAGCUCCGAAAUCCAAAGGCUUUCUCAUGAAGUUUUUUUCUAAUUAACAAGGUUGUUUGGCAUGCAAACAGUUAACCUAAGUCGACACCCACUCAAUGCAUAUCACUCAGAUGUGAUGUGUGGGGUUGUGGCCCAGCAUUGACAGGCCUCAAUUCUGUUUCACUCACAGUGCACCUGCUGUUUGGUAUCUCCACUACAGAAUUUACAUGGUCCAUAUGAAAUCUGCUGAUCAGCUGACAAACAAACUUGAGCUACGCAAACUACAAACUACUCUGUUUAAAAGGAAGAAGCAUACAUUUCAUGCAGUAAUUAUAAAGGUUGCCAAGUGAAAUUUGAUGACCAGUCCCCAGCAUGCCUCAGCAGUUGCUACCGUGAAGCUCCAAUGGUUAACAGCAGUCCUUCCAUAUUUUACGUAAUGGAGGAAUGGGGCAUAUCUGGCUAACAUGCGCUCAUCAGGGAUCACUGGAAAGAUAUUAAUGGACCAUGACAACUGAAUCCUCCUUCUCUCAUUGAAAACUUCUUCCCAGUCUUGAGCAGAUGUCCCAAACCUUGGUGCCAGACAAACAACACCGCUGCCUGGAUUCUCACUAAUUGUUACAGAAAAUGGUGUCAAUCCCACUGACUAUACUGCUUUAAUAUAUUCUUUUUCAGUACCACUUGAAUGGUUUCCUGUACAAUAGCUUCCAUGAUCAGUUAGCGCAUUACCCUGGAGCCCUCUAUCUCAUCCAGACAACAAGUUGAAAGAACUUCAAACCUGUUGAACAAUUCUAAAGUCUGAGUCUCCUCCUGCCUCUGGUCUCUUUUUAAUGCCUCACUCACUGUCAUAAACUCCUGCAUCUGGAUAGUAACCAAUUCAGAUAGUACUGUAAGCAAUUCCCUGCAGAAAUCAUUCACAGACAAUUGGAAAUUAUUUGCAGCAAACUACUAACAAGUGAACCAC
Molecule: non-coding RNA, 1150 nt
Organism: Chiloscyllium plagiosum (whitespotted bambooshark)
Lineage: Eukaryota; Metazoa; Chordata; Chondrichthyes; Orectolobiformes; Hemiscylliidae
Source: RefSeq, a predicted model, not a curated record